AUCUAGAUUAGAGUUUGAUCCUGGCUCAGAUUGAACGCUGGCGGCAUGCUUUACACAUGCAAGUCGAACGGCAGCGCGGGGCAACCUGGCGGCGAGUGGCGAACGGGUGAGUAAUAUACCGGAACGUACCCAAGAGUGGGGGAUAACGUAGCGAAAGUUACGCUAAUACCGCAUACGAUCCAAGGAUGAAAGCAGGGGACCGCAAGGCCUUGUGCUCCUGGAGCGGCCGAUAUCUGAUUAGCUAGUUGGUGAGGUAAUGGCUCACCAAGGCGACGAUCAGUAUCUGGUCUGAGAGGACGACCAGCCACACUGGAACUGAGACACGGUCCAGACUCCUACGGGAGGCAGCAGUGGGGAAUUUUGGACAAUGGGCGAAAGCCUGAUCCAGCAAUGCCGCGUGAGUGAAGAAGGCCUUCGGGUUGUAAAGCUCUUUUGUCAGGGAAGAAACGGCGUCGGCUAAUAUCCGGCGCUAAUGACGGUACCUGAAGAAUAAGCACCGGCUAACUACGUGCCAGCAGCCGCCGUAAUACGUAGGGUGCAAGCGUUAAUCGGAAUUACUGGGCGUAAAGCGUGCGCAGGCGGUUUUGUAAGUCUGUCGUGAAAUCCCCGGGCUUAACCUGGGAAUUGCGAUGGAGACUGCAAGGCUAGAAUCUGGCAGAGGGGGGUAGAAUUUCACGUGUAGCAGUGAAAUGCGUAGAGAUGUGGAGGAACACCGAUGGCGAAGGCAGCCCCCUGGGUCAAGAUUGACGCUCAUGCACGAAAGCGUGGGGAGCAAACAGGAUUAGAUACCCUGGUAGUCCACGCCCCAAACGAUGUCUACUAGUUGUCGGGUCUUAAUUGACUUGGUAACGCAGCUAACGCGUGAAGUAGACCGCCUGGGGAGUACGGUCGCAAGAUUAAAACUCAAAGGAAUUGACGGGGACCCGCACAGCGGUGGAUGAUGUGGAUUAAUUCGAUGCAACGCGAAAAUCUUACC
This 976-nucleotide ribosomal RNA is filed under the name uncultured Duganella sp. Its description in RNAcentral is "bacterial SSU rRNA". It matches the Rfam family "Bacterial small subunit ribosomal RNA", at positions 1 to 975 of the family's 1533-position model. Lineage: Bacteria; Pseudomonadati; Pseudomonadota; Betaproteobacteria; Burkholderiales; Oxalobacteraceae. The record is from RNAcentral.